GGGAAGGUUCUGGAAGAUAAGGCCGCCAUCUUGUACUGUGAAGAUAACAGUAGGCGCUGUUGAAGCAGGUGAGAGACUGAUCGGCCUUUUAAGAUGGGAGCGAAAUAUAAACACCGCCUUCACUUGGUAUCACAUGCACGGUGUCACUAUGUCUGACACCAGACUAUUAUAUGAACACACAGCGGGAUAAACAUCCGGCUCCAGCUCUCUGUGGGAGUCGCUGUCACCCGGACUAGUCCGUAUUUACCAAUGGGGAGCGUUACCCCCUCACUCUGCACUGCAUCCGGGACAUGGCUCCUAGCCGCGUUAUAACUCACUGCCUUAUAUUAUAAUAUGAUCCUAGCUCUCACUGUUAUAUUAUAAUAUGAUCCUAGCUCUCACUGGCGCGUUAUAACUCACUGCCUUAUAUUAUAAUAUGAUCCUAGCUCUCACUGUUAUAUUAUAAUAUGAUCCUAGCUCUCACUGCUGCGUUAUAACUCACUGUUAUAUUAUAAUAUGAUCCUAGCUCUCACUGCUGCGUUAUAACUCACUGUUAUAUUAUAAUAUGAUCCUAGCUCUCACUGGCUGCUGCCUUAUAUUAUAAUAUGAUCCUAGCUCUCACUGGCUGCGUUAUAACUCACUGCCUUAUAUUAUAAUAUGAUCCUAGCUCUCACUGGCUGCGUUAUAACUCACUGUUAUAUUAUAAUAUGAUCCUAGCUCUCACUAAUAUGAUCCUAGCUCUCACUGACUGCGUUAUAACUCACUGUUAUAUUAUAAUAUGAUCCUAGCUCUCACUGGCUGCGUUAUAACUCACUGUUAUAUUACAAUAUGAUCCUAGCUCUCACUGGCUGCGUUAUAACUCACUGCCUUAUAUUAUAAUAUGAUCCUAGCUCUCACUGGCUGCGUUAUAACUCACUGUUAUAUUAUAAUAUGAUCCUAGCUCUCACUGGCUGCGUUAUAACUCACUGUUAUGUUAUAAUAUGAUCCUAGCUCUCAGCGUUAUAACUCACUGUUAUAUUACAAUAUGAUCCUAGCUCUCACUGCUGCGUUAUAACUCACUGUUAUAUUACAAUAUGAUCCUAGCUCUCACUGCCUUAUAUUAUAAUAUGAUCCUAGCUCUCACUGGCUGCGUUAUAACUCACUGCCUUAUAUUAUAAUAUGAUCCUAGCUCUCACUGGCUGCGUUAUAACUCACUGUUAUAUUAUAAUAUGAUCCUAGCUCUCACUGGCUGCGUUAUAACUCACUGCCUUAUAUUAUAAUAUGAUCCUAGCUCUCACUGGCUGCGUUAUAACUCACUGCCUUAUAUUAUAAUAUGAUCCUAGCUCUCACUGGCUGCGUUAUAACUCACUGCCUUAUAUUAUAAUAUGAUCCUAGCUCUCACUGGCUGCGUUAUAACUCACUGCCUUAUAUUAUAAUAUGAUCCUAGCUCUCACUGGCUGCGUUAUAACUCACUGUUAUAUUAUAAUAUGAUCCCACCUCUCACUGGCUGCGUUAUAACGCACUGUUAUAAUAUGAACCUAGCUCUCACUGGUUGUGUCUGUCAGACUCAGUAAGCAUUAUGGUCCAUGUUUACAUUACUAACCUGCCUUGUGUGAGGAUUUGGGGGAAUUUGUUUUAUAUAUUAUGGAGAGGGUGAAUCUGUAUCCAUUUGUGUUGUGUGUUAACGUAAGGGCACUGUCUGCUAAGGAAGGCCGAUGGUCGUUUGAGAAACCGUUUUGAAACUGCAUAAAUCAGGAAUGCAUUAAAUAAAAAUUGUUGUAUUCGUUUAAUAUUGGUUCCAGUUUUGUGCCCAUGUACUAUUUUCUUAUGUGUUACAUUAUCACUUCGCCUGUUAUCCAGUGGUAACUUUUUAUUUACUUAUUCUCCUUUUCUGUAAUCUGCCAUUAAAGGCUGUCUUUAUGCCACUUUUUAUUCUCCUCUCUUGUACACUUUGAUUUUGUUUUUCUAAUAAUAUUUUUUGCAUUGUUAAACUCAAAAUAAUUACUCAAAUUAAUGUUGUUAGGAAAAUUAUGCCUUCAGAAUUUGAAGAGUUAUGUAGUGGUUCUGGUGCCUAUAAUCAGUCCAUGCAGGCUUUUCAGAGAAAAUGCAGUGUUUACUUUGCUGCCUAGUGACACAUCUGUGGCAGUCACUCAGACAGUCACUGGAGGUGUUAUCUAGUCCACUGUGUUCAGCGCCUCCACACUGCAUGGAGGCACCGAAUGUUCCCCAGAGAGAUGCAUUGAUUCAAUGUACAAUAUCCUCCUGCUUUAUUAUGGGAAUGUAUUGGAUUGGUUGUGAUGAACAAGAUUGAUUACCUCAACCAUGGAUGGGUGGGAGAAGAAUUUAGUAAAAUUACCAAAUUUUACUAACUUCAUGACGUAAAGUCUUGAUUUUAUUAAGGACACGGAGGCGAGUAUUAGGCUUUAUCUCUUUCUUUAUUCCUUGGCAGCAAAGAAAGGAUAUUGAAAUAUUCAGAGAAAAAACAAAUAACGUACCUAACGGGUUAAAUACACUAUAAACAUAUUACCCAAUGAUAAUGCUCCUUGCACCAUAAUGUCCCAUGUGACCAUAACCCACUCCUCUUUCUUGAUGAUACUGAUGAAUAUCCCAUCAAAACAGAACCGGAGACUUAAUCAACCGUGGAGAAUAAACUGUGCUCCCGAACAAUGGAACCGUAGAAAUUGAAGGAACUGUAGAACAAUGCUCCCACUUUCCAUGAACCAACUUGUAUCGAUGUAGGAUUCCAAUCAAGAGGCUGGAAGAAACAGAGAUAUACGUGGUAAAAUAUGAUCAGAGAGAGAGAGAGAGAGAGAGAGAGUGUGUGUAUGUAUGUAUGUAUGUAUGUGUAUAUGUGUGUGUAUAUAUAUAUAUAUAUAUAUAUAUAUUACACACACACGAUUUUUGACUAACAUCUGUCGUUUAAACAUAAUCCCAAAUUGGAGUAAACAAACGUCCUCAACAGUGUCAUGAAGUUAUAUGCCCAUUAGGGACUUGGGUAUGGCGCAACUUGCCAUGUCUGGGUGGGAUAAUACUCGCCUCUGUAUCCUUAAUAAAAUCAUGACUUUACCUCAUGAAAUUAGUCAAAUCUGGUAAUUUUAUUAAAGGACACGGAGGCUCAUAUUAUGCUAGUUCAAAGCUGUGUUACCACCGUAGAAAAAAAAUGUGGAGUUGGCCAAAAAUAGAACUCCUGAAACGUAGAUUCUCAGGACCAAUCAGCAGCAUGUAGGAGAUUACCCAGUCUACAUCCCAACGCAAAGGCUUUAGAUGCCAUAGCAUCUCUAACAGAGUGUGCUCCGUACAUGGACGUGUCAAUGCCAGCUGACAUCAGAAUCCAUCUAUACAUUGUAACUGUGGAAGUCGAAGAGAUAUAAAUAAAUUCGUGUAUGAAUUGUCCUGUACUGAGGAUGUCCUGUCUUCAUAUUCAUUCAGGCAAUCCACCGGACAUAGGUUGAUAUUGUGCGGGAAUGCCGGACCACAAAACGAAGAGAUGGAUGUCUUAGUACGUCCCAUGAUGUUAAAGGUGACGCCAUCUGGAGCAAAAGAAUGUGUUGUAAUAUCCAGUGCCUGAGCAUCUGAGACUCGAUUACAAGAAAUUAAACAGAAUAACAUGACCAGCUUAGCCGUGAGUUGUUUGAGUGAAAGGUCUGAAUGUUCUGAAGCCAACUAUCAAACAAUCUGAGGACAAUGUUAACAUCCCACACCGAUGAAUAUUUAGGGAGAGGUGGUUGUGCAAACCUGAUGCCACGAAGUAGUCGACACUAUAAGGGGUGUUGCCUACUGGGGAUCCAUUCCAACCUUGGUGUCUUGCAGAUCUAUAGAUAUUCACCGUACAGUAGGUCAAUCCGCGUUCGAAAAGUACAGUAAGGAAACUCAAAACGUGAUUCACAGGUGUAGAUAAGGGAUCCAGUUUUCAUUCCAUGAGUUCCAGGCAUGGAGAUAUGAUUUCUGUGUUCCUAGAGCCCAAGCUCCUGCCAAGAGGUCCCUAGUUGUUUGUGAAACUUAUGUGAGGAGACUGAAUCCCCGUAGUGGAAUCAAGCCAAUAGCUUGAGCUGUCCUUGGAGUAUAAGUGGAUGACCGUUCCCAUCUAGAUGAAUCAAAAGGUCUGAGGAUGUCGGGAGUAACCUUUGGUAAUCUAUUGACAUAUCCAGGAGUGUAGGGAAACCACGGUUGAGUCGUCCAAAACGGGGCAAUGAGAAUCAGUUAACGUCUGAGAUGAAGUGUCCGGGCAAUCAGAGAAAAUGGAGGGAAAGCGUGAUCUGACGCCAGGGCUUCCGGAUCAGGUCUCCAGCUGAAAAACUGGUAGUUGGGCAUUCAACCGUGAUGCGAAAAGGUCGAUGUCUAGGGGUCCCCACAGUGCCUGCAGGCGAAGAAAUACAAAAGGAUUCAGCUGCCAAUCGCUGGUAUCCCUCAAGUACCUGGAAUUCCAAUCUGCCCCCACGUUGGACGUUCCGAGGAUAUACUCCACUCGUAUCAAGAUGUUGUGGUGCAGGCAGAAAUGCCAGAAUUCCUACGCUAGUUCCGCCAAGACUAGUGAUUUUGUGCCCCCGAGGUGGUUGAUUUAACGCACCGCUGAUACGUUGUCCAUCUGUAACACGAGGAAGCAGUUGGUUGAUACAGCUGGGAGGUUUCGCAGGGCAAACGAACCCACUAGCCAUUCGAGGCAAUUGAUAUGCAUGGUCUUUUCUUCCAUGGACCAUUUCCCACAUGUGUAGGUAGGACCGCAGCGCGCCCCAGCCGAGCAUACUUGCAUCUGAUUCUAUUGUGAAGUCCGGGUAGUGCCGAAGAUUGCUCGUCCGUUCCACGCCUCCAUGUGUUGCAGCCAUCACUGGAGUUCCUCUCUGGAUGGACAGUCGAGAGGAACAGAGUCUGAGUAGGAUUGACCCUAGAGUAGGUGUUUGGCCUUCAGGUGUUGAAGUGCCCUGUAGUGGAGUGGGCCAGGGAACGUCUCUUGGAUCGAUGCUGAGGAGACCAAUGAUUAUGGCUAGUUGCCUAGGGAUCCGGACCGGAUGGAGGGUGGUAGAAGUGUCACACAUGGAGUCUAUGGUGAAACCUAGGAAUUCUAUAGAUUGUGGAGGUUCGGUGAUUAAUUUUUUCCCAGUUGAUGAGGAAACCCAGGUUGUGCAUGAGGGAAAUCCUCUAAUGCAGAUGUUUCUGAAGUUGAUGAGGGUCCUGUGCCAUCAGGAGUAUAUCAUCUAGAUAUAUUAUUAGGCAAACCCCUCUGCUGCGUAGCAGCGCAACCACUGGCUUCAUACGUUUUGUAAAACACCAUCGUGCCGAAAAAAAAACAAAUGGGAGGCAGUUGAAUCGCCACAUGGUCCGUUCUCAUUGGACUUGGAGAUAUUGUUGGCAGUCCUCUGCCAUUGGUAUGGUGAGAUAGGCGUUUUGUAUGUCGAGUUUGACCAUCCUGUCCCCUGAGGGGAGAAGAUCUCGGAGGGAGUGUAUACCUUCCAUUUUGAAGUGGUGGUAUGUGACAAAUGCGUUCAGUGGUCGAAGAUUUAUGACUGGUCGAACACCUCCCCCUUUUUUGGGGACCAGGAAGAUAUUGCUCAAGAAACUGAGUCUGGGGUGGAAUUUCCCGAAUUGCACCUUUUGGAUGCUAGGGAUUGAAUUUCUUGUGACACCAAGCCCCGGUCGUGGGUAGAGAACACUAUACGGUUUGGGAGGGACCACUGAACGGGGUGUUGAACAAAAUCUAUAGAAUAUCCCAUGACCGUAUGGAGGACCCAAGCAUCUGAGGUUAACAUGUGCCAAGCAUGUGCAAAUCUUUUCAAUCUGCCCCCCACCAUAGGUAUAGUAGAAAUAUUGAUCUUACCAUAAGGCCGUCAGCCAUAGGAAGAACCUCUGUGUCCACACGCCUGUCAAGUUCUGCCACGAACUUGGAAGAACGGUGAGGCGGACUUUUGUUCAGGUGGUUGAAACCUGGCAUGCACAGAGGCUCGGGAUCCACAUGAGGAACGGCCGGGCAGACGGCCCCGAUAUCUGCCGGCGCCACCAAAAACUCUGAGAGAACACUCUUUUCAUGUUGGCUUGCGCCGUAUCGAGUGCUGUGAAUGUCCCUACGUAUGUGUCUAACUCCUUCAUGAAGUUGUCCCCAAAUAAAAGCCCUUAAGACUGCGCUCCAGGCUCUGAGAUCGCAAGGUUUACUAACUUUGGGUCUAUUUUCAUCAAAAUAGACUUGCGUCUCUCCGUGGCCACUGCCAAAUUAGCAUUACCCAGUAGGCACCCACAUCUUUGUACACAGCCCCUGAUGGCCAUUAAGUCAGCAGGGGCACUCCCAGCCAAUGCCAUUUCGACCUUGUGGAAAAUCUUGGCACUUGAUCCCAGAGCGUCCAGGAUUAUGUCCUGGCAGCUUCGCAAGGAGAAAUCCAGGCCUUUUUUGGCCUUCAAUCCUGUUUUGCCAAGAAAUUGGGCUAUUUUAAGAUCCACGUCUGGCAUGGUACGGGCCAUAUCGGGGAGAUUGGGACGUGGGCAUUCCGCCCUAAAGUUUAUUCUGUGCCUCUUUAAGUGGUUUCCUUAUACAUGCGGCAGCGUACUUAGCCAUGUGGCCCAAAGGGUACCACUCCGAAGAACAUGGAUACUGUAAGCUGUCCGGAUCAAAGAGUGGUUCGCCUUGAGGAUCCAGAAGGGCGGAGUCAUCCACCCUAGCCCUGGCAUCAUUGCCAGGACCUGACAAGGGGCUGUGGUCAGGCAAAUCUGUGCCGGAAUCAUAGGCGUCCUCAUCGGACUUGCUCGGUGCCUCUUGUUCCAAUUCAGAGUCGGAAGAUUCUCUGAGGGCAUUUGCCCUCUUUUCCAGGUCCUCACCGAUUUUUCCUGGUGGGGGGGAUCUCUAUUGUGGUGUAACCACAUUCUUAGUGACUGGACGUACCCUGUCCGUCUUGAGAGUUUUGGAAGACUCAACGUCUAUAUGACAGGAUUUCUUAGCGGAUUUACACCCACUAGGGUCUACCGACUUACUCUCCAGGUGGUUUAGAGCCAUUAGGGCAGGUGGUCUGUAGGCGGACAGUAGGGCCCGAGUGAUGGCGCGUGACAGGGUAUCCAUUCUCUUUAAUGUUUUUAUUAGUGAUAUUGCAGAAGGUUUUGAUGGUAAGGUAUGUCUUUUUGCUGAUGAUACUAAGAUAUGUAACAGGGUUGAUGUUCCAGGAGGGAUAAGCCAAAUGUCAAAUGAUUUAGGUAAGCUAGAAAAAUGGUCAGAGUUGUGGCAACUGACAUUUAAUGUGGAUAAGUGCAAGAUAAUGCAUCUUGGACGUAAAAACCCAAGGGCAGAGUACAGAAUAUUUGAUAGAGUCCUAACCUCAACAUCUGAGGAAAGGGAUUUAGGGGUGAUUAUUUCUGAUGACUUAAAGGUAGGCAGACAAUGUAAUAGAGCAGCAGGAAAUGCUAGCAGAAUUCUUGGUUGUAUACGGAGAGGUAUUAGCAGUAGAAAGAGGGAAGUGCUCAUGUCAUUGUACAGAACACUGGUGAGACCUCACUUGGAGUAUUGUACGCAGUACUGGAGACUGUGUCUUCAGAAGCAUAUUGAUACUUUAGACCGAGAGUUCAGAGAAGGGCUACUAAACCUGUUCAUGGAUUGCAGGAUAAAACUUACAAGAAAAUGUUAAAGGAUCUUGACAUGUAUAGCUUGGAGGGAAAACGAGACAGGGGCGAUAUGAUAGAAACAUUUAAAUACAUAAAGGGAAUCAACACAAUAAAGGAGGAGACCAUAUUUAAAUGAAGAAAAACUACCACAACAAGAGGACAUAGUCUUAAAUUAGAGGGGCAAAAGUUUAAAAAUAUCAGGAAGUAUUACUUUACUGAGAGGUUAGUGGAUGCAUGGAAUAGGCUUCCAGCUGAAGUGAUAGAGGUUAACAUAGUAAAGGAGUUUAAAGGAACACUAUAGUCACCCAGACCACUUCAGCUCAAUUAAGUGGUCUGGGUGUCAGAUCACUCAAGGGUUAACCCUGCCUGAUGUAAACAUAGCAGUUUCUAAGAAACUGCCAUGUUUACAUCUGGGGUUAAGCCAGCCUCUAGCCUCUUCCAGACAGCCACUAGAGGCGCAUAGGCAAUGAUUGAGGCAUAUCAAUCCAUAGGAAAACAUUUUUUUUUCUCUUUCUCUCUCUUUCUCUCUUUUUUUUUUUUCCUCUUUUUUUUUUUUCCUCUUUUUUUUUUUUCCUCUUUUUCCUUUCACCUUUACAAAUUGUGUGCCAUGAUGGGCAGAAUUGUCACUCCUGGGCUGCCAUAUGGUCUCAAAGGAAGGCCCAGUGAAAUAAUCUGGCAAAUUUCUAUGUGUAGAAACUGAAAAUGGCAAGCUCUUUAUUUGACCCCGUAACUUUUCAAAACACCAUUAAACCUGUGGAGGAAUUGUUGUAAACGGGAAACACCACAGCAUACAAAUGUGUUUUAUUGUAGUAAAAACUAACCGUAUUAUUGACAUGUACAACUUGGGGAAAAAAAGUUUUCAUUUUAUUCAUAUUAAAUUUUUGUUCCUUAGUUGAUGUGAAAUGAAAGCUCUCUUAUUCCUGAAAAAAAAAAAAAAAAAUAUAUAUAUAUAUAUAUAUAUGCCCUUAAUAUGAAAGGAAAUGCGCGCACUGGACCACCCCAUAGGAAAGCAUUGAAUCAAUACUUUCCUAUGGGGAAAAUCUGACACUGGAUGUUCUCAUGCAGACCGUGAGGACGUCCAAUGUCCGUUACCUGACCAGAUGUCUGUUUGGAUGCAGAAAGUGCCUCCAGUGGCUGUCUGGGAAACAGCCACUGGAGGCAGACUUAGUGCAAUAUAAACCAUUUCUGCAGUUGCUAAUCUGUCACAGAAUCCCAUUCCUCUUACAGUGGCAGACAGAUUUGUUGGAAAUAAAAAACAAAACAUUUUCACAUACCCACUGAUUUAAUUUAUUCUGAUGAUGAACUGGAAGUGGCACUUAUGUGAACCAAAAAAUAGCCAGAAUGGAAAAAGAAUAAAUAAGCGCAGAAAUAAAUAUUUUGUGCCGAUAAGGAAAUUUCAUAAGUACCAGAAAAACAGCUUAAAAAAAUUAAGUUGACACUUUAUAUAACCCCCAAAGUAAGUGUGGCCUGUGAAGCAUGUUUGUGCAGUUAUAAAUACCAUUGCUGUAUUGGUUGGGGUGCAGGAGUGGCCUGGCUUAAUUUAUUUGAAAUUAUUUGACAUCGUACCUGAGUCCUUUAAGGACCACAAAUAUUGCCUGCAGUCAUCAGCAAAGCACUCUCGGCUAAUGAGCAAGGUGCUACUUUGUUCUCUGCACUAGCGCAAUCUUGAAAGGGGUGUAUUCAAUGUGGGUGCUUAAAGGACCACUAUAGUGCCAGGAAAACAUACUCAUUUUCCUGGCACUAUAGUGCCUUGAGGGUGCCCCCACCCUCAUGGUCCCCCUCCUGCCAGGCUCUGGGGAGAGGAAGGGGUUAAAAUCUUAUCUUUCUCCAACGCCGGGCAGGGAGCUCUCCUCCUCCAUAGCGACAUCAUCGGCUGAAUGUGCAUGCGUGACAGGAGCCGCGCGCGCAUUCAGCCAGUUGAUAGGAAAGCAUUUACAGUGCUUUCCUAUGGAUGCUGGCAUCUUCUCACUGUGAUUUUCACAGUGAGAAGCACGCAAGCGCCUCUAGCGACGGUCAAGAGACAGCCACUAGAGGCUGGAUUAACCAUAUUAUAAACAUAGCAGUUUCUCUGAAACUGCUAUGUUUAUUAAAAAAAGGGUUAAUCCUAGAUGGACCUGGCACCCAGACCACUUCAUUAAGCUGAAGUGGUCUGGGUGCCUAUAGUGGUCCUUUAACAGGAACCAAAUAAGUUGUCAAACUGCUAAAACAAUGGGUCGUCAACAGGGCCCUCCUGUCACCAUAACCUUUACAGCAGUCUGUAGUAGUUCUGGUGCUUGGUGUGCUAUUUUAGAAACAUAGAAUGAGAUGGCAGAUGGCCCAUCUAGUCCGACCAAUUUUUUACUUUCAUUAGUACCUGGCCUUAUUUUAUAUCUAGGGUAGCCUUAUGCCUAUGCCACAAGUGCCUAAACUCCCUCACUGUGUUAAACUCUAUCACUUCAGCUGGAAGGCUAUCCAUGCAUAUUUCCUGAUAUUUUUAAACCUCUGCCCCUCUAAUUUAAGACUGUCCUCUUGUGGUAGUUUUUUAUUAUUUUUUUUUAUUUUUUAUAAAUAUACUCUCCUACUUUACUGUGCUGAUUGCCUUUGGGAUUUUUUUUUUUUGUUUGUUUGUUUUUAAUGUUUCUAUUAUAUCCCUUCCCUACCGUCUCGUUUUUGCUCCAACCCAUACAUCUUCCUUUAGCCUUUCUUGGUAAGUUUUACCUUGCAAUCCAUGAGCCAGUUUAGUAGCCGUUCUCUGAACGCUCGCCAAAGUAUCAAUAUCUUUAUGGAGAUAGUUAAUACAAUGUUAAACAAAAGUCUGCACACCAGAUACAUAUAUAGAGUACAAUACUUCAAGGGACACUAUAGUCACCUGAACAACUUUAGCUUAAUGAAGCAGUUUUGGUGGAGAGAACAUGCUACUGCAGCCUCACUGCUCAAUCCUCUGCCAUUUAGGAGUUAAAUCCCUUUGUUUAUGAACCCUAGUCACACCUCCCUGCAUGUGACUUGCACAGCCUUCCAUAAACACUUCCUGUAAAGAGAGACCUAUUUAGGCUUUCUGUAUUGCAAGUUCUGUUUAAUUAAGAUUUUCUUAUCCCCUGCUAUGUUAAUAGCUUGCUAGACUCUGCAAGAGCCUUGUGUAUGUGAUUAAAGUUCAAUUUAGAGAUUGAGAUACAAUUAUUUACGGUAAAUGACAUCUGUUUAAAAGUGAAACUUUUUUUUUUUUUUUUUUUCAUGCAGGCUCUGUCAAUCAUAGCCAGGGGAGGUGUGGCUAGGGCUGCAUAAACAGAAACAAAGUGAUUCAACUCCUAAAUGACAGUGAAUUGAGCAGUGAAAUUGCAGGGGAAUGAUAUAUACACUAAAACUGCUUUAUUUAGCUUAAGUAAUUUAG
RNAcentral lists this long non-coding RNA (10900 nucleotides) under Pelobates cultripes (western spadefoot toad). Lineage: Eukaryota; Metazoa; Chordata; Amphibia; Anura; Pelobatidae. The record is from RNAcentral.